AAGGGAUACAACCUGCACAAAGGAAUCAAUUAAACCCCAAAAUUGAUCGGGCUCUGAAAAAAUUUUGAACUGUUGUCACUGUUUCAAACGAAUGGGGUAGAAGAAAUCCCCAGGAAAAUAGGUUUAAACCAAAUUAUGCAAAGAACAUCAGCAAAUCCUCUCAUGUGUCAUGUAAGAAUCUGUCUGCAAGGGAAAACCAGAGACUAGUGGGCAGAGCUGGGGGAACUCAGCAAAUGACUUACUGGGAAGGUUAAAUUUGAACUAGCUGAAGAGACGAACCAGACCAGAAAGUACAGGAUUAAAAACAUACAUUAUCCUAAUUGGACUAAAAAUAAAAGCUUAUUUUAAAAAUUACAGUGGAGCUACAUAAGUACAAUAGAAGUUGUUGAGUAGACACUACAAAUUUGCUUAGUACACAAGAUCUGCCCCUAGAAAAUGCUAAUUUAAAAAGUAACAGGUAUUCAACCAAUACAUUGGAGGCUGUUGGUGCUUUCACUGCAUUGAGUUAUUGAUGCACCGCAUAGUCCAGAAUCAAAGCCUCAUCACGCAAGUUACAAUUGUGGGCAGGAGUCCCACAGGCUAAAUUAUAAUUUCUCCUGGGGAGGAGGUUUUCAUUCGGUAGGCUACUCCCUACCUCAUUAGAGCAGUGACUCCUCUGGCCAAUGGGGUAACUCCCUGCUACCUACUCUAGCUGUGUGAUAUGUAAAGUCUUAUGGUGCAACGGAUCAGCUCAGACUGCAGAGCUAAAAGAAGCGGCUGCUGGCUACACACAGGCAUGCUAAUGUCCACCCUUCCAAGCUGAUGUAAAAAAAAAAAUUGAAAUGGGAUUGUGUUGCUUCCUCAAAUAAUAAAGUGAGCAAAGUUUAUGAGCCAUUGGUUUCCCUACAUACAGUAGUUGACUAUUACACACACCAUAGUUAAAAUGUAGUAAUGAUUACACUUUUGUAUUAUUUAGUAGCACUGAUAAUCUCCAAUUAUGCAAGGCACCUUGAAUAAGAUUGUGUAACUAAAUGCAAUGAGAUUUAAUGUAUUCCGACAGUAAGAAAAUGGCUUACUUCAUAUAGACUAACAAAAGAUCAACAGAUAAGUAAAGUUACCCCAUCUGAGCAGAGCUGACACACUACCUCCACUGUUCUUUGAGUUCAGUUAUCACUCCUUCUCUACCUUUCUGUGAGAUCAGUGCUCACUCAUACUCCUCUACUCCUCCCUCCCUCCCUCUCUCUCUUUCUCUCUCUCAGCAUCGUGCCCACUCUCACAUAGUCCCUCUGAGUUAUGCACACCUGACCUCACCAUGGCCAUGUUGUUUUCCAGCUCCCUGGUUAUGAGCGGGGAGUGGGCAUGGCAGGAAGGGGCAGGGGGAAGAGGUGGUGACCCUGCACACUUGCUCUGGCUGUCGGCUGACCGUGCAGAAGGACACAAUAAAAACAGAUGGAAGAGAGAAAAGAUGAUGAAGGGGAGGAGAAGAAGGAGGAGGAGGAGGUGACACCGGGCACUACUGCAAUACAGACAGCUGAUUACACGCAGGGAUAUGAAUGGGAAAAGCACCCUCCACUGGUGAAAGAAGUGUAGUACUGCCGAAAAUCUCCCCAGAACAAAGAAUGCUACGACAGCCAGCGUCCCCAAACUCCCGCGCCCACCAAUGCUCGUGACAUGCUGGUCAGCAGAGCUACAGAGCAGUACUACAAUUCCCACCAGCAGUGGAGUACUUAUGGGUUGGUGAUACCAGAAGCUGUGUGCAGAAGCAUUGAAAUUCAAAUCCAGUGCUGACAGAACCCAACCACGACUACCUCCAGUGGAGUUUCACCUUGGAUUUGUCCAAAUGCAAGCCAUAUGUGAUUUUUUUGCGCUCAGAUUACAUCUGAGAUCUACAGAACCUAAAAAGACAAGUGUAACUGGGGCCUACAUAACCUUGAAUCAAACUGAGUGUUCCAACCAGACAUCAGCAUAUCAGAGAAGGUAUUUUGUGAAGGACAUGCCAUGUUCAAGUCCAGUGUGUGUUUGUGUGUGUGUGUGUGUGUGUGUGUGUGUGUUGUUAUAUUAUUUUAUCCUGCCCCUUUUCUCUAUCAUUGGGAAGCUUGGUUUCAUCUUUUGACUAAAAUCUGCACAAGGGUGUGCAGCUAACUCAGAAGCCAGGAACAGUUUUCCACACUACAGAUCACACAGCAAGGUUACCACUAGGGAUGUCAGGCAUCUGGUUUUCGGCCAGAAUGUCCAGUUUUCAAAUUAUUUGUAUAGGUCUGGUUUGUGGUCCCGCCCAGACGAUGUAAUGUAACUGAUAAGUACCUGGUUGAGCAAUAGAUGGAAGAAAUUUUCCCAGUAGUUUGUAACGAAUUAGCAUUUCAAUGACUCCCCGUUCCGAUAGCACAACACACCAGUCUGAAAUUGGUUCCGAGAGGACCACCCCGAUUACACUUCCAGCUGUGCAUGUCAUCUGGUUUUGACCAUUUCUAAAUCUGGCAACCCCAGUUACCACUGAUCAGUGCAGAUACAUAGCUUGCACAGCUAGACAGUGGGCACCAGUAAAUAGGAAGCCUGGCUGACUUAAAUGAGCCCUACCUGUGGUGAACAGUUAAGAUAUUCAAGUGUGUCCUGCCACUAUGUGACAAAGCAGGGGCUUGAAUCUAUGAUGUUUCAGCAAUGGGGCUCAACAUGCGCAAUAGGGAAAGCAUGUCGACAUAGACUAGCAUCCUCUGAGGUGCAUUCCCUUUUUUUCUACAUUCAUUUUAAGAGAUAUUUUAAGAAGGUAAAUGUUCUUCCAAACAUCGUUUUGUCAUUGCUGUUGCAAUGUUAUACUGUUCUUCGGCUUGCUCAGGUCUGCUCCAAAAUCAAUAACAUCCUAACUUUUAAAAAAUGAAUAAAUAAAACUGACCACUGCAGCUUAAAACAAGACAUCAGCUACAUGUCAUGAGUUACAUGAGUACUUUUAUUCAAACAUAAUAAUUAAUUAGUGCCAUGGAAAACAUUUCCAGUGUACAUAUUUUGAAUGAUUAUUUUGGUGGGUGAAGGUAUUGCUCAUAUAAGCCUAAGUGUGUGUAAAAUUAGGAUGAGAAACACUGAAUUAAAUUGAAGCAAUACAAAACCCUUUGGAAAAAAAAAAAGCUUUUUUCUGAGAGAUUCAUUGUUUGGAAAUCGAGUGAAAAAGCAAAGCUGGUUCUUUCAGCAGUUCAUCCUGCAAUGAGCAUUUGUGACCCUUCUCUUUCUCCAUUUUAGUUGUCAAGAUUUUCAUUUAACUUCUAAAUAAUGAAAUCAUCACCACACACACCGUACACGCUGCAAUGCUCACUGGAUGUUUUUUUUUUCUUCAGAAAGAAAGAUUCUAAGUGUCGUUAAGGAAUCAGAGAGCUCUCUAAGUACAGAAAAGAGCUUUAGAAACUAUGAAUAGUAUUUCAGCAUUCACUCUAAUGAAAAAAAAUCUGGCCUGCUGUAAAGCUAGUUAGCAUCAUCCAGAAGCAGGAGUCUGAGCUUUCAGAACACAGUAUGAAAUGCAUUAUUAUGCACAUUCGCAUUUGAUCCAUAUCACAAAACAACCCAUUUAAAUUUUUACCAUAGUUCUCCUUGAACAUGAAUGCAGUAAAUACUCAGCAGCAUAAAUGGACACCAUAUAAAAUAUAAGUUAUAAAGCUUGCUAAAGGCAACUGUUAUGCAGGUAAAGGAUUUUAUAUUUUAUUUUUUAAAUUUAAAAAUAUGAAAAAAUGAAAUUAAAAAAACACUAAUAAUGACUGCCCAGAAGUGCACUGUGAGUGAAGUUCUCAAUCCCCAGGGGAAUUCAGGCAUGGGCUAUUUAUUUAUUUAUUUAUUUAUUUAUUUAUAUGUUGUUCUUAACUUGUUUUAGCUAAUACAAUAAUCUCCCUAUUAACACCCCUGUAUUCAGAUAAGCAGCAUUGUGUUUCUGUCCAAUAAAUGGUUUCA
Molecule: long non-coding RNA, 3909 nt
Organism: Anguilla anguilla (European eel)
Lineage: Eukaryota; Metazoa; Chordata; Actinopteri; Anguilliformes; Anguillidae
Exons: 4
Source: RefSeq, a predicted model, not a curated record